RNAcentral lists this ribosomal RNA (423 nucleotides) under uncultured bacterium. Its description in RNAcentral is "partial 16S ribosomal RNA". It matches the Rfam family "Bacterial small subunit ribosomal RNA", at positions 360 to 774 of the family's 1533-position model. The record is from RNAcentral.
AAUCUUCCGAAAUGGACGAAAGUCUGACGGAGCGAUGCCGCGUGAGUGAUGAAGGUCAUAGGAACGUAAAACUCUGUUGUUAGAGAAAAACAAGUAUCGGAGUAAUAUUCCGGUACCUUGACGGUACCUAACCAGAAAGCCCCGGCGAACUACGUGCCAGCAGCCGCGGUAAUACGUAGGGGGCAAGCGUUGUCCGGAAUUAUUGGGCGUAAAGGGCACGCAGGCGGUUAUUUAAGUCUGAUGUGAAAUCUUGUGGCUUAACCACAAGCGGUCAUUGGAAACUGGAUAACUUGAGUACAGAAGAGGAGAGUGGAAUUCCACGUGUAGCGGUGAAAUGCGUAGAGAUGUGGAGGAACACCAGUGGCGAAGGCGGCUCUCUGGUCUGUAACUGACGCUGAGGUGCCAAAGCGUGGGUAGCGAACA